Neopsephotus bourkii (Bourke's parrot) is the source of this 4940-nucleotide long non-coding RNA. RefSeq lists it as uncharacterized. The record is from RefSeq and is a predicted model, not a curated record. Lineage: Eukaryota; Metazoa; Chordata; Aves; Psittaciformes; Psittacidae. The transcript has 4 exons.
UUGGAACUGGAUGAUCUUUAAGGUUGCUUCCAACCAAAACCAUUCUAUGAUCCUAUAAAUUUAUUUUUCAACUUAUACCUUAAUUUGUACUUCUUUAAGUCACAGUUUAGAAUACUUCCCACUAGAAUCUUGUUUUUGCUGUUUUGUAGCAUUUGUAACAUAAACAUUACGAUUGGUCUGAAGAGUGUAUGAACAGAAAUGUCUGUCAGUAAAGCACCAGGAAAGACAACAGAACAAAGUUGCGGGGGAAAAAAAAACAACACACCACCAAACCCAAACCAUUUUGAUAACCGUGGACGCAAUUGACAGCAAUCAAAUGGUUACACACCAAGGAAUGUGGUGUUUGCAGCAGGACCAGGAAGCCUGUGCCCUAGGAAACCCUCAGUUGCAUUAGCAGGCCUGUGCCCUGACACACAGAAGAUAGCAGCAAGGUUGCACCAUGCUAUACGUGCUGUUCCUCCCUCUUCCUGUUCUGCAAACAGGGAAGCUGACUCUAGCCAUAAAGACACCCACAGCAGGCAAACCCAUGAAACAGACAGCAAACUAAGAUUCACCUAGGCUGAGACCUCUAUUUGUAGGAGGAAUGAGAUACUGCAGACAACAGGCUUUAGCAGCAAUGGCUCUACUUUGAAGGACCUGACUUGCCUUCAACUAUGUGCCCUCUCAGGCAAUCAACACACCCUAUGAAGAACACACACCUUAAUCACACUUGAACUUAUUUUACUUCUUCCUCUUUUCUCAAAAAGUAUUUUACAUCUCACAAAAAUUCUAAUGGUCCUACCGAAAGUUCACACUUCUGAUUUUGCCUGUCUAGAGAAGAGUGCUUAUGCACAAAUAAACCUUGAAGGAUGGAAAAAUGACGAGAAAGAAAGCAUCAAGCCAGACAAGUAUGACUGGAAACUCAGAUGUAAAGAAUUCAAAUAUUUCAGAAGAUGUCUUGAUAGAUCAGAAAUGUACAUUGUGAAAUGUGGUGGUGAAGAUGGUUUUAGGCCCAUUUGUACUUUCAGAGCAUCCCCCAAAACCUGGGGGAUUCCUACUCUUCUAGGGGAGCAUGCAAAUGGUCUACUAACUCGCUAUUCGCAUGAACAGCUGUACGACAAAGGCCCUAUGCUGUAGAUUCACUUGAAUAAUGACAGGUAAGGUUAUCUUCUUGCUUUUGAGGUUUUGUUUUACUUAUUUUCCAGCCUCUUCACUUCAGCAGUUAAACAUUAAUUUCUAAGCAAAAGCAAAGUCUUAAUAUCAUUACAGCUCUUAUUUCUCAAUUUGUUCUCAAAUAGUUUCUGUCACUGUACAAGAAAGAAGACUUUAAUUGGAAAAGGAUUAAAAUAAUAAUAAAAAGUGGUCCAUUUUACUGGCACAUUGAAGAGCAAUGCCAACACCAUAGUAACUUUAUUCUUCCAGGGAAAGUGUUGCCUUUCCCUCUCUGUUUCAAAAAGCAUGUAUAAAUAAUAAGCCCAAUUUUCAGUCUCAACUUACCCUUUUCCUUGCUUGUAAUUUUGCAUAUGCUCGCAUAAUUACGGACUGAAAUUUGCAAAUACAAUUACUUGCUGACACACAUUGUUAUUUGAAUGAUAAAGCAUUUGAUUGUAUCCAAUGAAAACAAGAUGUGAAAGCAAAUGUGUUUUAGCAAACCUAAUGUACUAACUUAAGCUUCUGUUGUUUUAUGGAAAUACGAUCCCCUAACAGUAUGUCGACACCCUGUAGUGAAGUAUUGUCUAGAGACCUUACAUUAAAAGCAAGAUAGCUGUCUUGCUGCAUUAUCACAUUUACACUUGCCUGGGAAGAAAUACAGCUACAUAGGAACAAUUACUUUUUACUUUUUAAACAGGAAAGUUUGCUUUCAUAAAAAUAAUCAAAUUAACAAUGGCAUAUUAGUGGAGUCACAAAAUAAGUAACAAAAAGAUGCUGCUAAAUUAAACUAAUUCAGAAUUCAUAUUGCAUUUUGAUGGCAGUUCAUGACAUGUAGUAAAACCACCUGUUUUCUCUGCCAAAGAGAGAAAAAGAGUUAAAUCAGAACUCAUGAAAAGAAGAGCAGCUGUCAAAACUACAGUUUAGCAAAACCAAGAGGCCUUUGAGUUCACUUAGAUUUGCCAGUGACUUUUGAAGCUACUUUUAUUUUUGGUUACUUCAAAGUUAGCAAACCUUUUAUUAACAAAAUUCCAUAGGAAAUCCUUCAAACUGCACAUGGGGGGCUGUCUGUGGCAUGGUCCUCUCUCACUGCAGUCUUGUAGAGUUCUUGAUGGAUUUCCUAGGGCUCACCAUAAAUACAAACAACUGACCAGAAAAUCCAGAUGAGGUUCAACUGUAUUUCAAGAACAGCUAUGACCUAAUACUUUCUUGAUACAGAGACACAGACGUGAAGCUAGGGAGAUUAUACUAAGAACUCAUUUUGGUUAGUAUCUUUCAGAAGAGAAUGCAAAGUAUGGCUAAGCAGCUCACUGAUUACAUUUAAAGAUAUUACUCAAGAAAUCUAAGGAUAGGAAAGAAGUUACCGAUAUCCUUAAAGGCAUUAUCAAUAAGAUAAGGAAGACAAAAGAAAAGCUUUUUGUUACUAAUAUUUUUGUCUAUAUUUGAAUAUACUGUUGUCAAUGGAAAAAAAAUCCAGAGCCUGGAGUCAUUCAUUUUAAGUCUGGAAGCUGGCACCGAAUAAAAACACAGCCAAACACACCGAGAGAUAUUUAACAAAUGAAUAUUAUAUGGAAUCAAUCAACGUAACAAGAGUUACCACUUCAAACUAUUCAGAAAUGGUGGCAGUGUUCAUAUAAGGAGAGCUUAAAGAUUCCUACAUAUUUUUUUUUCUCUGAUUUUAUCUAGUUUCAAAGCUUUCAGAAAUCAUGCACUUUAUCUUUUCUUUGCAACUGAGAGAGCUGUAAGUUAACCUUUUUUACAGUAAGACCAAAAUUCUUAAGUAUUUCCAUAAUCCGUAGUCUUGGAAGGCAGGUUUUAAAGAAAAUGCAAAUCAGUGCAUGACUACAGAGAAAGACUGCAAGAGUUGUAACUCUAAGCCAGCAGUGACAAUGCACCAUAAAUUGGAUAUUAACUUCAGGAAGAAUCAAACAGCAAAAUUCCAGUGAAGUCUUGAAUAGUGUCAGCUUCAAAUUAUAAUCCAGGAUAUGUCUGCACCAUGUUGGCCAAACUACAGAUUAAAGCAUUGUACAAAUAUAAAGUCUGAGGACAGGUAGCCACUGAGAGCAGCUCAGUAUUUACUGCUGCAUUUGACAUAAGUGUUUAUUUAUGAGGGUCAAACUGACUUCUUUGUGUUUCAAAACCCCUAGGUGACCAUACUCUAUCAUCCAUAUAUAAAUGCUCCAGCAGUCCAGGAAGAAACCUAUGCUUUAUCAGACAUAUUUACAAGACACAUCCUACCAGCACGCUGUCCAUGGUCACCAGAGAAAAGUACAACACUUUUCUGCAUGGGCUGCCAAGCACUGCUUCCUAAAACCAACCUGAACUUGUGUUUGUAUUCCAGACUCUUGUUCCCAUUGGAGCUACACAGGAUCAAAAGCUGUUUAUUCCUUUGGCUUAGUACAUUCCACACCAACGAGGUUUCAGGAAAAUGUGCCAAAACCGCCGAUCAGGGCUUUCAUGUUGUUAGAGCCUAAGGAGGGAUGACACAGUGUGUUUACAGCUCAAACGGCUCUGAACUCUCCAGUUCUCUGGGCAGGAGAAAGACAGCAUGACUGCAGUCCCCUGAUUAUGCCUUGCAUUUUUUAAAUGUUCAAAUCUUUGCAGCCUUUCCAUAGUGUUCAGUGCACUUUGACCAUAAACUGCUCCAGAGUGCAGGCAAAAACAGUUGGGAAAAUAUUAAUCCUCUCCUUAUAUGGCGAGAAGAAAAAUGAGAAAAUACAGGCUGCAUUCAAUGUGAUAAAUGUCUAAGAAAUUCCUCUUUGAGUGGAUUCCCUGAGUCUACCUUCUACAUUCACAGAACACAAAUUAUUUGGCAUACGGAGAUAAGAAUUUGUGUCAGCUCAAGUUAAUUUUGUACCACAAUUAUGAGAAAAUGCUGUUUUGACCUUUAAAAAAAAUCUAGUAUCUGCAGACUUUCACCCACUCUUAAAAGUUAAUUUGAAGUGCUGUACACCAGUUCUUGCAAGUUAGACAAGCGGUUUUAUUUUGCAGACAAGGAAACAAGAUAAAAUUGUUAAGUCACUUCCCUAAGUCAUUAUUAGGUCUGGAGAAAAUUUCAGAAGACUCAAUCCUGUAUCCUGCAUUGUCCAUUAAUCAACAUUCCUGACACAAAAUGCUGUGCAUCAUGACUUUGGCACUACAGUCACCAGACCGAGUAGGAACAUCCUGGACUCUGACGACAGUUGCACUUACUGAUAACUGUAAGGACUGUGCUUUCAGAUGAGCAUACCCACAGGAAGAGUUGGUGGCAAACUACGCUUUCUAGUUCAGACUCCAACUCUCUAUGCAGGACAACUAACCAGUCAUCUGAAGGUGCUUUUUUUCUGUCCGGCCACUUCAGAGGAGAGAAAUCAGAAAGCAGAAAGCAAGGCUCCCAGUGAACAGAAAAAAUGUGGACAAAGUGCAAAAGGAUCACUGCUGUAGUGAGGGAGCAUAAGCAGCAUUUAGGAGCAGGUCUUUCUUUUUUCAUAGGGCUUCCCAUAUUGCAUACUCCCGUGGUCAGUUGGACUCACAUACAAAUCCUUUUUUUGCCAACUUCAUCAUCCUGUGCAAGCUGCCAGAAGAAGGGGAAUCUGGGGAAGCGCUGCUUAAAACUACUGGUUACAGGGACUGAUCAAUACUGGCUCUAAUGCUCCUUUUUGCAAUUUUUUUUUUUCAAGAUUAUUUUUCUGCCAGUAAGUUCCUGGAAAUAGUUCCCUAUAGUGGAAAACACCUGCAUUUGCACAGUUUAGGGCAGGAAAGACUGGCUGGAAGGCACCAGCUGAACUUGCCACCAUUGACUCCAAUAUGAAACCAGAGUCUUCAAUCCCCUU